GGCUCAGGACGAACGCUGGCGGCGUGCCUAAUACAUGCAAGUCGAGCGGACCGAACGGAAGCUUGCUUCUGUUCGGUUAGCGGCGGACGGGUGAGUAACACGUGGGUAACCUGCCCGUAAGACCGGGAUAACUCCGGGAAACCGGGGCUAAUACCGGAUAACACCGAAGACCGCAUGGUCUUUGGUUGAAAGGUGGCUUUUGCUACCACUUACGGAUGGGCCCGCGGCGCAUUAGCUAGUUGGUGAGGUAACGGCUCACCAAGGCGACGAUGCGUAGCCGGCCUGAGAGGGUGACCGGCCACACUGGGACUGAGACACGGCCCAGACUCCUACGGGAGGCAGCAGUAGGGAAUCUUCCGCAAUGGACGAAAGUCUGACGGAGCGACGCCGCGUGAGCGAAGAAGGUCUUCGGAUCGUAAAGCUCUGUUGUUAGGGAAGAAGAAGUACCGUUCGAAUAGGGCGGUACGGUGACGGUACCUAACGAGAAAGCCCCGGCUAACUACGUGCCAGCAGCCGCGGUAAUACGUAGGGGGCGAGCGUUGUCCGGAAUUAUUGGGGCGUAAAGCGCGCCGCAGGCGGUCCCUUAAGUCUGAUGUGAAAGCCCACGGCUCAACCGUGGAGGGUCAUUGGAAACUGGGGGACUUGAGUGCAGAAGAGGAGAGCGGAAUUCCACGUGUAGCGGUGAAAUGCGUAGAGAUGUGGAGGAACACCAGUGGCGAAGGCGGCUCUCUGGUCUGUAACUGACGCUGAGGCGCGAAAGCGUGGGGAGCAAACAGGAUUAGAUACCCUGGUAGUCCACGCCGUAAACGAUGAGUGCUAAGUGUUAGAGGGGUUAAACCCUUUAUUGCUGUAGCUAACGCGUUAAGCACUCCGCCUGGGGAGUACGGCCGCAAGGCUGAAACUCAAAGGAAUUGACGGGGGCCCGCACAACCGGUGGAGCAUGUGGUUUAAUUCGAAGCAACGCGAAGAACCUUACCAGGUCUUGACAUCCCCUGACAACCCUGGAGACAGGGCGUUCCCCCUUCGGGGGGACAGGGUGAAAGGUGGGGCAUGGUUGUCGCCACCUCUUGUCGCGAGAUGUUGGGUUAAAUCCCGCACCGAGCGCAACCCUCGCCCCUAUUUGCCACCAUUCUGUUGGGCCCUCUAGGGGGACUGCCCGCUAAAAACGAGAAAGGUGGGGAUGACCUCCAAACUUCCUGGCCCCUUAUAACCUGGGCUA
RNAcentral lists this ribosomal RNA (1219 nucleotides) under Geobacillus sp. RNAcentral describes it as "bacterial SSU rRNA". It matches the Rfam family "Bacterial small subunit ribosomal RNA", at positions 21 to 1216 of the family's 1533-position model. Lineage: Bacteria; Bacillati; Bacillota; Bacilli; Caryophanales; Anoxybacillaceae. The record is from RNAcentral.